UACGAAGGGUGCAAGCGUUACUCGGAAUUACUGGGCGUAAAGCGUGUGUAGGCGGAUCGUUAAGUGUCUUGUGAAAUCCCACGGCUCACCCGUGGAACGGCUGGGCAUACUGGCGAUCUUGGGCCAACUAGGGGCAACUGGAACAAGCGGUGGAGCGGUGAAAUGCGUAGAUAUCGCUUGGAACGCCGAAGGUGAAAACAGGUUGCUGGGGUUGUGCCGACGCUGAGACACGAAAGCCAGGGGAGCAAACGGG
RNAcentral lists this ribosomal RNA (253 nucleotides) under uncultured bacterium. RNAcentral's name for it is "partial 16S ribosomal RNA". It matches the Rfam family "Bacterial small subunit ribosomal RNA", at positions 524 to 776 of the family's 1533-position model. The record is from RNAcentral.